CAGCCAGCCACGCCGCCAGCAAAGGCAGCCGGGUGGACGACGUGAUGCUGGACUGUUGGAGUCUGGAGCCGGCCGAGCGGCCCUCGUUCGGCCGCCUGAUGCAGCGGCUGGACGUGGUGCUGGCGGCGCUGGCGUCCAUGGAGUACGUGGCCAUGGCCUCGCCCCAGCCGCACGUCAAGUACGCGAACGCGGUGGUGCCGUGUGCGUCGCCCUCCGCGUCGGCCUUGCCCUCGCCGCCGGACAGCUCAGACUGAGGGCGUCGACCGGGGGAUCAGCGAGUCUGCAGGGACCUGGACUCGUGCCCUAUGACGUCAGCGGACUUCCGUGACGUCCGUGUCAAAGAAGUGCUCAGGUUUGUUUUUAACAGUGUUCCUCACCGGACUUCCAGUGUUCCUCGCCGGGCUUUUAGUUGAUCCUGAUCCGGGCUUUUAGUUGACAGUGCGGCGCCUCGCUAGGACAGUGCGGCGCCUCGUUAGGACAGUGCGGCGCCUCGCUAGGACAGUGUGGUGUCUCGCUAGGACAGUGCGGCGCCUCGCUAGGACAGUGUGGUGUCUCGCUAGGACAGUGCGGCGCCUCACUAGGACAGUGUGACGCCUCGUUAGGACAGUGCGGCGCCUCGUUGGGAAGGACUGCGGUGUGGUAUUUCUGCUUGGAUUGAACAGGAUGCAGCGUGGGUUGGCCUAAGCCGCUCAACUCAUGUUUAAGGUCGUGGUUUUUCUUUGUUUGUUUUUACAAGCGGUCCGCACUGGUGUUUGAGUUCCUCUUGGUAUGGGUGUUGGAGAUCUCCGGUGUGGUGCCUCGCGAGGGUCGUCUCCCGAGGCCUGGGGUGUAGUGUUCCUGCUUUGAUUUAACGGAUUAGCGGAUAGUGCAGGUUGGCGGAAUAGCUCGUCUUUCAUGUGAGGUAGUGCUUGUAUAGUCCACACCCCUUCGAAGUUUGUGAGCGCAUUUUCAUUGUACGGGUACAUGUGACGUACCAAGCAAAGCCUCUCGAAGCUUGUGAGUGCGCUCCUAUUGUACGGGUACAUGUGACAAUGCGAAGCCAGAGCAUGGUUAAGGUAGCCCAUUAAGAAAACAUUUUUAUUUGAAGUGUUUUCGUUACGAUUGUUUUGCGUAACGAAGUCAAGCUUGUCAAGCAAAAUGUUUGGUUUGCUACAAGGUCAUGACCUAGAUGGUAUCUGGAACAGUUUUAGUGGCGUAGUUGCUUUGACGGGUUUCAUUGCAGUACAGACUCCUUGCGUUACGAUCAUAUCAAGGACCGGGUAUUUGUGGUGCAGCUGUGAUGUUUCUGCUGUGAUUUUUGCCGGCGCCUAAGUGCUUGGACUGCGGCGUACCUUGUGAUUGAGGCGACUACGUAGUGAAUGUGCAUGCAUUCACCUUCGCGUCAUUUGAAUAUACAGUGAGCCAUUA
Molecule: long non-coding RNA, 1407 nt
Organism: Pollicipes pollicipes
Lineage: Eukaryota; Metazoa; Arthropoda; Thecostraca; Pollicipedomorpha; Pollicipedidae
Exons: 3
Source: RefSeq, a predicted model, not a curated record